This 301-nucleotide ribosomal RNA is filed under the name uncultured bacterium. RNAcentral's name for it is "partial 16S ribosomal RNA". It matches the Rfam family "Bacterial small subunit ribosomal RNA", at positions 509 to 807 of the family's 1533-position model. The record is from RNAcentral.
CAGCAGCCGCGGGAAUACGGAGGGAGCUAGCGUUGUUCGGAAUUACUGGGCGUAAAGCGCGCGUAGGCGGUUACUCAAGUCAGAGGUGAAAGCCCGGGGCUCAACCCCGGAACUGCCUUUGAAACUAGGUGACUAGAAUCUCGGAGAGGUCAGUGGAAUUCCGAGUGUAGAGGUGAAAUUCGUAGAUAUUCGGAAGAACACCAGUGGCGAAGGCGACUGACUGGACAAGUAUUGACGCUGAGGUGCGAAAGCGUGGGGAGCAAACAGGAUUAGAUACCCCAGUAGUCCCUGUCUCUUAUAC